GAUGAACGCUGGCGGCGUGCCUAAUACAUGCCAGUCGAGCGAACGGACGAGAAGCUUGCUUCUCUGAUGUUAGCGGCGGACGGGUGAGUAACACGUGGAUAACCUACCUAUAAGACUGGGAUAACUUCGGGAAACCGGAGCUAAUACCGGAUAAUAUUUUGAACCGCAUGGUUCAAAAGUGAAAGACGGUCUUGCUGUCACUUAUAGAUGGAUCCGCGCUGCAUUAGCUAGUUGGUAAGGUAACGGCUUACCAAGGCAACGAUGCAUAGCCGACCUGAGAGGGUGAUUGGCCACACUGGAACUGAGACACGGUCCAGACUCCUACGGGAGGCAGCAGUAGGGAAUCUUCCGCAAUGGGCGAAAGCCUGACGGAGCAACGCCGCGUGAGUGAUGAAGGUCUUCGGAUCGUAAAACUCUGUUAUUAGGGAAGAACAUAUGUGUAAGUAACUGUGCACAUCUUGACGGUACCUAAUCAGAAAGCCACGGCUAACUACGUG
This 497-nucleotide ribosomal RNA is filed under the name uncultured bacterium. Its description in RNAcentral is "partial 16S ribosomal RNA". It matches the Rfam family "Bacterial small subunit ribosomal RNA", at positions 28 to 507 of the family's 1533-position model. The record is from RNAcentral.